Carya illinoinensis is the source of this 2720-nucleotide long non-coding RNA. RefSeq lists it as uncharacterized. Lineage: Eukaryota; Viridiplantae; Streptophyta; Magnoliopsida; Fagales; Juglandaceae. The transcript has 2 exons. The record is from RefSeq and is a predicted model, not a curated record.
GUGCAAUGGGUUAUGGGGAUUUACAGUCUCUAAGUUUAUCCAUGAGCCCCAGUUCUCAGUCCAGCUGCAACGCAGAUAUCACCUAAUGGAUUAGAAUGAAACGUUGGUGUUGGUGCUUAGAACAGGAAGAAGGGAAAAAGAAAGAGGUAAAAUGCAGCAUCCGGGUCUAGAAUUUUUGACCCAACCCAAAUGACCAUUUUCGUUUUGGAUGAUUGGUGGGUCAGGUUGCAGGCCUUGGGGUCUAUUGGGUUAAAAAAAAAAAUGGCAUGUUUAUGCCCAUUGGCAAUUAAAAUCUGGUACUCUAUUAUAGCCCAGUUUCGAGUUCCUUGUGGCGCUGGAAUUUAUCUUUUGUUCAUCUCUCUCUUGCUCAUAGUUAAGAUCUCUCUUUAGCUCUCAGUCAUUUUCAUUUCUUCUGAGUUCACAUUUUCAUUCUUUCUGCUGGAAUUUAUCUUUUAUUCAUCUCUCUCCUGCUCACAGGUAAGAUCUCUCUUUAUCUCUCCGUCAUUUUUGUUUCAUUUGAGUUCACAUUGUUUUUGUUUCUAUUUCCUUUAUAUCUUCAAUUUGUUUCCAUUUCUUUCAUUAUCUCUGCAAACCUAAGAAUGACUUUCAUUUAUUAUCUUUUUACUAGUUUCUCUUCUGCUUAUAUAGUUUAUCUAUACUUGAUUUUCUCUAGCAGUGAUACCUUAGGUAUAUUCUUUAUUUUUAUUCAGUGAUUUCUUCUAUGUCAUUGAUGACUAGUGCAACAAGUUGUUAUAUUGUUUUCCGUAUCUGAAAUAUGUUACUAGCAAAUGUAGAUUCUGUAUUCAUGAUAUUUUUGUAAAAUCUCUGCAAGCAAAGAGUUACUUUUUAAGCAUUCAUAAAAGUUAUUUGUAUAAUCUUUUGCAGAAGCAUGAGCACACUUUUGAGUUUUCGUUUCUUCUGAGUCCACAUUUUUGUUCUUUUUAUUUUCUUUAUAUCUCCAGUUUGUUUAUAUUUCUUUCAUUAUCUCUGCAAACCUAGGGCUCGGAUGACUUUUAUUUAUUUUCUUUUUACUAGUUUCUCUUUUGCUUAUAGAGAUUUAUCUAUACUUGAUUUUUCCUAGUAGUGAUACCUUAGGUAUAUUCUUUAUUUUUAUUCAGUGAUUUCUUCUGUCAUUGGAUGACUAGUGCAACAAGUUGUUUUGUUGUUUUUCAUUUAUGAAAUAUGUUACUAGCAAAGGCAGAUUCUAUAUUCAUGAUAUUUUUGCAAAAUCUUUGUUUGCAAGCAAAGAGUUACCUUUUAAGCAUUUAUAACAAAUAUUUGUAAAUUCUUUUGCAGUAGCAUGAGUACACUUUUGAGUUUUUUCUCCAAAUGCAUGAAUUAGUUUAUAUUUUUUUUGACAAUAAUGGUUGUACUUUUUUAUUUUUUAUUUUUUUAAAUCUCAGAUUUAUAUAACCAUGCUACCUGAAGAUGCUGAGUGCAUACUAAAUACAGAGGAUCCAGACAUUUCUGAUAAUAAUCACGUAUUUUUUCAUGUUCAUAUCCCCGAUCCUUUUAAGCCUACAUAUAAGCAACUAAUAGAAGAGUACUUGAUGCCUAGAAAAGCCAGAGAGCCGCUUCGUACUACAUUCAUAACAGAAGCAGACAUGUAUCGUUACAAUCCCAUUGAGCUUACAAGAGCUGGAGUAAAGCGACGAAGAUUAGAGACGAGAGCUGAAUGAUCGACUGUGCAGAGAAAGUUUUAAGAUGUGAAAAAGUACACUGUUUUUGUUUUUCACGUGCAUACAAAUAGUUUAAAUGUAGUUCAAGCAAGCAAUAGACCAAAAAGACAGAACAAUUAAGCUAAAAGAAAAAUGAUAAAUAAAAAUAUUCUGUGACACUUUCUUCUUCUUCUUCAAGUACUGCAUAUUUGAUUAUUUACGGUAGAUAUGUCCUUCCCAAUGUGACCAAUCUGAGUCCAAAUGCAUGAUAGUUUGUUAUCAUGAAGUGAAAUUUCAAUAGGCUGAUAUCCUACAUAUGAAAAAGGGAUUGGUUUGAAAACUUGGAGGGUAAUUGUUUAGUUUAUUUAUUUAUUUAUAAAUAGACUUGAUUCAGGUAUGCCAUGCUUUAAUUUGAGAUUUUUAAUAAUAAUUCUGUUUUCUUCGCUUUUGAAAGGACAAAGUAUAGAUGAUUUGGAAAAGAGAAUUUAGGUUGUAGUUGCUGCAUGCAAGUCGUUGCUAAAAUUGACUUUUUUCCUCUUUGUACAUGGUUCAAGUUAUUAAAAUUAAUUUUCUGGUUGUUUUCAGUCUUCAGAGAACAAAGAAUCGCAAGAAAAAGUGAAUAUUUUUUUAACAUCAUCAAUGUCUUUAGAACAUUGUGUGUCUGAUGAAUAUAUAUAAUAUAUAUUGAUGAGCUGAGACAGAAAUUCAGUCUCGGGUGAUUACUCGGCACUUAUUUUGGAUCAAGUGUUUUUGGAUGUUGGUGGGUUAAAGUAUUCUGCUAUAACUGAAAUCACAUUCAUGUAUUAGUUUAUUUUCCUUGGCUUGCACACAUGCAUAUCUUCUCUUAUGGUAAAUUCCUUAUUUUGAAUGUUUCUUCCUCUCUCUUUUUUUGACUAACUUAUAAAAUCAAUACGAUCUUCAAGCUGCUUGUUCUUUCACUAGGGGUUAAACUCUAGUUGUCCCAGUGGAACUCUCUUUUCUCCCAGAAGAAAAAGCCCAACUGAAAGGUUCCAUGUAUCUUCUCCUGAUAGACUGAUAUAUGCAUAUAAUAUGUUCUUAAAA